AUGAAGGAGAGAGCUGUGCAGGGCACGGCCCAGCUGCUGCGGUGGGAUGAGAUGAUGUCAGAUGUCCAGAGGCCGCCCCUCCCUGGGAGAACCCGUGACAGCCACGCGAGGACCACCGCAGCAAACUCUCGCCCGCAACGCCACACGACCGCAAGUGCAACAACCAUAACAACCACAGCUCCACAAGCGCAGCAACCCCAGCAGGCACAAACCACAACUGCACAACCACAACCAGACUACUUAUACAACCCAAACGCCCACCCCAAUCACAGCGUCGGCUGCUCCUCACCCAGUGGGCGUCAUGUUCUCAGUCCUCACAAAGGCCCAGAGAGGGAGGUCCCCAAAGCCUCAGCUACCGGUCAGCAGGGGCCCCGGGAGGCCGGGGAACUUCUGAGGACCCGCGGGAGUGGGUCGGGCCUGGUCCCAAAGCGAGGCUCACAGCAUUGUCGCCUUCUUCUCUGAGGGAAGGUGCGCUCUCUUUUGGACUUCCAUUUCAGCUUGCUUAUAAGUCCCCCAGGAUGGGGCAUCUUCCUUGUUUUCACUUCCUGAGGAUGGCCGUCUUUCUUUCCUUCCUUCCUCCCUCCCUCCUUCCCUCCCUUCCUUCCUCCCUUCCUUCCUCCCUCCCUCCCUUCCUUCCUUCCUUGUUUUAUUGACACAUGUUAAUAAACAAUCUUUGCACUUCUGUAGUACUCUUUUCCCCAAGAAGCACUGGGGAUUAAACCCAGGAACUCGUGCAUGUGAGGCAGGUGCUCAACCACCAAGCUAUACCCACCCGGGGCUUUCUUAUGCUUUCUUUCCAGUGGAUGCCUGUGGUGCUCAGC
RNAcentral lists this transfer RNA (821 nucleotides) under Dasypus novemcinctus (nine-banded armadillo). RNAcentral's name for it is "lncRNA (ENSDNOG00000051785.1)". Lineage: Eukaryota; Metazoa; Chordata; Mammalia; Cingulata; Dasypodidae. The record is from RNAcentral.